This 725-nucleotide ribosomal RNA is filed under the name uncultured archaeon. RNAcentral's name for it is "bacterial SSU rRNA". It matches the Rfam family "Archaeal small subunit ribosomal RNA", at positions 142 to 872 of the family's 1478-position model. The record is from RNAcentral.
GGGGAUAAUGUCCCAUAGACUACAGAUACUGGAAUGUUCUGUAGUUCAAAGAUUUAUCGCCACAGGAUGGGUCUGCGGCCGAUUAGGUAGUUGUUGGGGUAAAGGCCCAACAAGCCUUUGAUCGGUACGGGUUGUGGGAGCAAGAGCCCGGAGAUGGAUUCUGAGACACGAAUCCAGGCCCUACGGGGCGCAGCAGGCGCGAAAACUUUACAGUGCGGGAAACCGUGAUAAGGGAACUCCGAGUGUCCGUAAAUUCGGACUGUCCGUAUGUUUAAAAAGCAUACGAAGAAAGGGCCGGGCAAGACCGGUGCCAGCCGCCGCGGUAAUACCGGCGGCUCGAGUGGUGGCCACUAUUACUGGGCUUAAAGCGUUCGUAGCUUGGUUGUUAAGUCUCUUGGGAAAUCUAUCGGCUUAACCGAUAGGCGUCCAGGGGAUACUGGCAAUCUAGGGACCGGGAGAGGUGAGGGGUACUUCAGGGGUAGGAGUGAAAUCCUGUAAUCCCUGGGGGACCACCUGUGGCGAAGGCGCCUCACCAGAACGGCUCCGACAGUGAGGGACGAAAGCUGGGGGAGCAAACCGGAUUAGAUACCCGGGUAGUCCCAGCCGUAAACGAUGCACGUUAGGUGUAUCGAUGACCACGAGUCAUCGAGGUGCCGAAGGGAAACCGUGAAACGUGCCGCCUGGGAAGUACGGUCGCAAGGCUGAAACUUAAAGGAAUUGGCGGG